UGAUGAUGGUGAGGGCAAUUUCUAAACAUACCCUUAAAUCUCUCCCAAGCUUGGUAGAGAUUCUCUCCUUCUUUCUAUCUGAAACUCAAGAUCUCGCUCUUCAAGCA
This 107-nucleotide small nucleolar RNA is filed under the name Capsicum annuum. Its description in RNAcentral is "Plant small nucleolar RNA R71". It matches the Rfam family "Plant small nucleolar RNA R71". From Rfam's summary of the family: R71 is a member of the C/D box family of snoRNAs containing the C (UGAUGA) and D (CUGA) box motifs. Multiple nearly identical copies of this snoRNA have been identified in Arabidopsis, and it is thought to function as a 2'-O-ribose methylation guide for 18S ribosomal RNA. The record is from Rfam by way of RNAcentral. Lineage: Eukaryota; Viridiplantae; Streptophyta; Magnoliopsida; Solanales; Solanaceae.